CCUACCCCAAUCCCUCGUCGCCUCCAACCUCCAGAUCCGCCCGGCCGCCGCCCCUCCCCUUCCACCUGAGCGCCUCCCCAUCCCCAUCCGUGCUCAUCUCCACGCCUUUCCUACCGCAGCAUGCGCAUCCCACUUCUUCGCCCCCAGAUCUGUGGCAGGCUCCUUCAAAUCGGCUCUGAUCUACGCCAUCUGAUGUCUGCUCCGCCCUUCUGCAUGGCCUCCUCUGGAUGGCUUUUCGCCCAUCACCUGCUCCAACUCCAGUGUCGUCCCUCUCCACGGGUGCCGUCUCCCCCAAACCGCAAGUUUGCAAGUCGACCAUGGUCUGUUCAAUUUAUGUUCAAGUCCGAUGUGCAAUCUUGGAAUAGGAUUUAGUAUGAACGCAAUUUCUUUUCACUGUGCAUUAGUAGGUUCUGUUCCCAAACAUUGUUUUGACUUAUGUUGGGGUGCAUAAGGAGUUAGAUUUAUUUAGAUCUCUGUAAUGUUUCUGCCUGAAUGUUGUGGUUCUUGUCAUUAGAGUUCAUGCAAAUUCUCUGUAAUAUUUCUGCCUGAAUUUUAUGCAAAGCAAAUAUUUUCAUCCAGAGAAACAUUGAUUUUUCUAGAACUGAAAAUUUAAAAAGGUUCAACAGCCAUUCAUGUAUUUCUCAGAGCAUCUUGGAGGCUGCGGCGCUGCUGGUGCUGCUGCUCGUGUGAUGGGCCUAGUGGAGGCUACAAUUCCUUGAUUUCAAGGAGGAAAAGGAAACAUGAUUGGUUCUUGGAGAGAAAGUAGCCUCCAUGCUUCUUAAAUCUGGGUGCUGUUUUGUACAGAGGCUUUCAUCUAUGGAGAAGCACAUUGAUGGAGAAACAAACAUGCUCAAAGGCAAUCUUUUUCAGGUACAUACUCUGUAUUGAUUGAAGAAUACGGGCAAGGUUGUUGCAAACAUUUUUCCACACGCAUGGUUCACAUUCCAUGGUUUAAUUUGCAGAUUGAUAUUUCAUUCAUUUUGAUUUCUGCACAUAUUCACAUUUCCAUAUAUUGACAUGAUUAGAUGAUUGAGAUGACUGAGUCAUCAACUGUCCAACAGCUGAAAUGGAACUUCUAGGAGCCUAUCUCAGAUCUCAUCGCACCUAUUUCAGAGCUCAUUUCCUAGUUGCAGCUCAAUGAGUCCAUUUGGUGAAGGUUAAUUUGAAACAGAAGCUUACAGUCCAAGCUGUGAUUGAGUGACAUGAGGCCCUGUUUUUGCAUAUAGUUGAAGAACUUAUCUGUUAUUAGAUGUGCACUUCUAUUUCGGUGACCCUGAAUCGCUGUAUGCUAAUUAUAAAUGGAUUUGUGUACGAAAUAGACGUGAUUUAGUAGAACUAUGAUUAAUGUAAUGUAUUACUUGCGAAAUGGAUUAACUGUGAGAACUA
Triticum dicoccoides is the source of this 1386-nucleotide long non-coding RNA. RefSeq lists it as uncharacterized. The record is from RefSeq and is a predicted model, not a curated record. The transcript has 3 exons. NCBI's taxonomy places the organism in Eukaryota, Viridiplantae, Streptophyta, Magnoliopsida, Poales, Poaceae.